Molecule: ribosomal RNA, 2079 nt
Filed under: Salmonella enterica subsp. enterica serovar Typhimurium
Lineage: Bacteria; Pseudomonadati; Pseudomonadota; Gammaproteobacteria; Enterobacterales; Enterobacteriaceae
Description: partial 23S ribosomal RNA
Rfam family: Bacterial large subunit ribosomal RNA
Source: RNAcentral
UGGUUCUCCCCGAAAGCUAUUUAGGUAGCGCCUCGUGAAUUCAUCUCCGGGGGUAGAGCACUGUUUCGGCUAGGGGGCCAUCCCGGCUUACCAACCCGAUGCAAACUGCGAAUACCGGAGAAUGUUAUCACGGGAGACACACGGCGGGUGCUAACGUCCGUCGUGAAGAGGGAAACAACCCAGACCGCCAGCUAAGGUCCCAAAGUCAUGGUUAAGUGGGAAACGAUGUGGGAAGGCCCAGACAGCCAGGAUGUUGGCUUAGAAGCAGCCAUCAUUUAAAGAAAGCGUAAUAGCUCACUGGUCGAGUCGGCCUGCGCGGAAGAUGUAACGGGGCUAAACCAUGCACCGAAGCUGCGGCAGCGAACGUAUCACCCAAGACAACUUUACGGAGUUGACGAUUGACGGAGCGAAGCGACGUCAAAGCGUUCAUUAAAGUCGAGUUGGCUUAGGGAUACGUUCGUUGGGUAGGGGAGCGUUCUGUAAGCCUGUGAAGGUGUGUCGUGAGGCAUGCUGGAGGUAUCAGAAGUGCGAAUGCUGACAUAAGUAACGAUAAAGCGGGUGAAAAGCCCGCUCGCCGGAAGACCAAGGGUUCCUGUCCAACGUUAAUCGGGGCAGGGUGAGUCGACCCCUAAGGCGAGGCCGAAAGGCGUAGUCGAUGGGAAACGGGUUAAUAUUCCCGUACUUGGUGUUACUGCGAAGGGGGGACGGAGAAGGCUAUGUUGGCCGGGCGACGGUUGUCCCGGUUUAAGCGUGUAGGUGUGUGUUCCAGGUAAAUCCGGUUCACUUUAACACUGAGGCGUGACGACGAGGCACUACGGUGCUGAAGCAACAAAUGCCCUGCUUCCAGGAAAAGCCUCUAAGCAUCAGGUAACACGAAAUCGUACCCCAAACCGACACAGGUGGUCAGGUAGAGAAUACCAAGGCGCUUGAGAGAACUCGGGUGAAGGAACUAGGCAAAAUGGUGCCGUAACUUCGGGAGAAGGCACGCUGACACGUAGGUGAAGUGAUUUACUCAUGGAGCUGAAGUCAGUCGAAGAUACCAGCUGGCUGCAACUGUUUAUUAAAAACACAGCACUGUGCAAACACGAAAGUGGACGUAUACGGUGUGACGCCUGCCCGGUGCCGGAAGGUUAAUUGAUGGGGUCAGCGUAAGCGAAGCUCCUGAUCGAAGCCCCGGUAAACGGCGGCCGUAACUAUAACGGUCCUAAGGUAGCGAAAUUCCUUGUCGGGUAAGUUCCGACCUGCACGAAUGGCGUAAUGAUGGCCAGGCUGUCUCCACCCGAGACUCAGUGAAAUUGAACUCGCUGUGAAGAUGCAGUGUACCCGCGGCAAGACGGAAAGACCCCGUGAACCUUUACUAUAGCUUGACACUGAACAUUGAGCCUUGAUGUGUAGGAUAGGUGGGAGGCUUUGAAGUGUGGACGCCAGUCUGCAUGGAGCCGACCUUGAAAUACCACCCUUUAAUGUUUGAUGUUCUAACGUGGACCCGUAAUCCGGGUUGCGGACAGUGUCUGGUGGGUAGUUUGACUGGGGCGGUCUCCUCCUAAAGAGUAACGGAGGAGCACGAAGGUUGGCUAAUCCUGGUCGGACAUCAGGAGGUUAGUGCAAUGGCAUAAGCCAGCUUGACUGCGAGCGUGACGGCGCGAGCAGGUGCGAAAGCAGGUCAUAGUGAUCCGGUGGUUCUGAAUGGAAGGGCCAUCGCUCAACGGAUAAAAGGUACUCCGGGGAUAACAGGCUGAUACCGCCCAAGAGUUCAUAUCGACGGCGGUGUUUGGCACCUCGAUGUCGGCUCAUCACAUCCUGGGGCUGAAGUAGGUCCCAAGGGUAUGGCUGUUCGCCAUUUAAAGUGGUACGCGAGCUGGGUUUAGAACGUCGUGAGACAGUUCGGUCCCUAUCUGCCGUGGGCGCUGGAGAACUGAGGGGGGCUGCUCCUAGUACGAGAGGACCGGAGUGGACGCAUCACUGGUGUUCGGGUUGUCAUGCCAAUGGCACUGCCCGGUAGCUAAAUGCGGAAGAGAUAAGUGCUGAAAGCAUCUAAGCACGAAACUUGCCCCGAGAUGAGUUCUCCCUGAGACUUAG